AUACCUUGGAUAGAUGACCCUGCUCACCACACUUGUAGCAGAAGCGUUGCUUAACCUGACAUGACGCUUGCUGUUUGUCUUCUUUCUUAGUGGGGGUCAUCCCGGAGAGUGCACGUGCUUGAUUUAUCAUUAGCGGACAAGAAGUGAUCGUAUGGUUCUUGUCAUUGCAUCCGGAGCAUCUCCUUAUCCCUUCAUCCUUGUCGUUGUAUGGACACGACACAAUGAGGUGUCCUGACUUAUUGCACUUAAAGCACCUCCUUUUCCCUUUUCUAUUUUGUUCUUGGAUGACAUAGAGAAAUGGCCAGUGCAAACAACAUGACUAAUUGAAUCUUUACCUUUUUCCAAGUUCAUGUUGAUUUCUUCAUUUUUAGCUUUAGGAACAUCCUUCUUAUGGAGCUUAACACUUGCUGCAGUUUUUCCCGUCUCAAGCUUCUUCACCACGCGGCCGUGGAUAUCUUGAGAAGCUUGAUGCUCAUCCAAGAGUUGGCUUUCUUUUGAGCAACCAGGGUUAGCACAUGGUGAUAUAUUAUCUAGAUGUGCACGUGUGCAAGAAUGAGGUUCAUAUGAAUUUAGGUUUGCAACUACAACCUCAUGAGCAAUAUCAAGCAUGAUAUGUCUAUCCAAAAGAUUAUCAUGAUAAUAAGACAAUAUAUCAUAUUUUUCAGUAAGAGCAAGUUUAUCAUGAUUUAGCAA
This is a long non-coding RNA of Zea mays, 693 nucleotides long. RefSeq lists it as uncharacterized. The transcript has 2 exons. Lineage: Eukaryota; Viridiplantae; Streptophyta; Magnoliopsida; Poales; Poaceae. The record is from RefSeq and is a predicted model, not a curated record.